This 496-nucleotide ribosomal RNA is filed under the name uncultured bacterium. RNAcentral's name for it is "partial 16S ribosomal RNA". It matches the Rfam family "Bacterial small subunit ribosomal RNA", at positions 29 to 507 of the family's 1533-position model. The record is from RNAcentral.
AUGAACGCUGGCGGCGUGCCUAAUGCAUGCACGUCGAGCGAACAGACGAGGAGCUUGCUCCUCUGACGUUAGCGGCGGACGGGUGAGUAACACGUGGAUAACCUACCUAUAAGACUGGGAUAACUUCGGGAAACCGGAGCUAAUACCGGAUAAUAUAUUGAACCGCAUGGUUCAAUAGUGAAAGACGGUUUUGCUGUCACUUAUAGAUGGAUCCGCGCCGCAUUAGCUAGUUGGUAAGGUAACGGCUUACCAAGGCAACGAUGCGUAGCCGACCUGAGAGGGUGAUCGGCCACACUGGAACUGAGACACGGUCCAGACUCCUACGGGAGGCAGCAGUAGGGAAUCUUCCGCAAUGGGCGAAAGCCUGACGGAGCAACGCCGCGUGAGUGAUGAAGGUCUUCGGAUCGUAAAACUCUGUUAUUAGGGAAGAACAAAUGUGUAAGUAACUAUGCACGUCUUGACGGUACCUAAUCAGAAAGCCACGGCUAACUACGUG